UGUUCUGAAUACUAGUACACUGUAGCGUCGUUUCUGAUCUAGUAGGUUGUACUGUCGUGCGCUAAUGCGCUAGAGCAUAUUGUUGUGACUGUCUGGUAUGUUGCUCUUUCCGCCAAAGAGCAGAUGCUAGCCUAGUGCGUGCUUGCUCAUGUUUGUGCGCAGCAGCUGUCAGUGUUGUGGAGGAAAUGAGUGGAUUUCUCUGCAGUGUUGUAGUCGGUUGUUGCGUGUGAAGUACACUAGCAGUUGUCGGUUGUUGCGGCAAGAGUCAUCUUGUGGGAACAAAGAUCAUUGGUGAACGAAGAUCAUUGCUAUCACGCAUUGUUUAGCUACGAUGUUUUGCGUUUCGUUUUCUGGGAGCAAUAAUGAGCGUUCAACCACUGAUGAGUCAAGCUGUGGACAACCUCGGAGCCCUGCUGUUGGAUGUAACAGGUCAACAGCUUGGACAGCAUGGAGGAGAGAAGAGUCAAAGCCUGUCAAAGCCUGGAGAAGAGUCAAAGUUGAGACAGACAGACAGACAGACAGACAGACAGACAGACAGAUAGUAUGGACUCACGACUUGAUGAUGUUUGUAUGGUCAGAAUGUUUGAGUUCACUUCACUUACCACACAGAGGUGAACCUAGAGACAGAUAUGUGAAUUCCAGCAACCGCCCAGAUAUUCUUGUGGCUGAUUCUGAAACUGAAUAGAACUUGAUGUGGCACUAGCUCAUCCGUGGGCUGCAGACAUUUGUCUCGUGCAUCUACAACUGCAGGGAGUGCGGCUGUGAGAAGGGAAGAACUUAAACUAGUAAAUAUAAAGAGGAAAAACUACCCGGUGGAUAUUCUCCAUCAGUAGUGCCUCUAGUUUUUUAGCACUUUGGGUGUUGGGGAGAAAGAGCCACUAACUACUUUAAUGCAAUUGCAAGUAUGUGGAGAGAUGAGAACGAACGAACAAAUGUUGCUGAGUUUAAGACACAAUAGAGGAGACGGUUUUCAAUUCAACUGCAACGUUGCAACGCAGGUGUGCUGACAAGAAACUCAUGAUGAUUGGUUCUGGACCUAAGACCCUUAGUAGAAACACUGACUUUGCACAACUUGUAGUUAAGUAUCCUCUUUUAAGUUUUAUUCCCCAUAUGGGGCUAAUGUAUUAUGUAGUAAUUAUUAGUGGACUUUAGGUUUGCUUUUAGAGUUUGACAGACAGACAGACAGACAGACAGCAGGUAUCGCGGCCUCAAGGAGGGUCUUGGGAGGAGACAAAAGCUUCACAACCAACCAAGAAGCUCUUGGUUGUAAAGAGAAAAGCUUUACAAGCAAGAGCUUCUUCCAGGAGGCAUCAAACCAUCUUUUGUUCCCUUGGUUCUUGGACAUUUUGGUCGCUGGGGGAUACAAGCCUCCAACUAUCUGAACAAGCUAGCCGAGUUGUCUAGAAAUGAUGAGGGAAAGAAAAACAAGGCCCAAUUCAAGACUAAGUAGAGAUCUCUCAUCUCCAUUCAACUGCAAAGAAACCUUGCUAAAGUUAUAGCAGACAAUGUAUGGAAAGACUGGAUCAUUGUAAACAACACUUUCCUUGCUUGGAACAUGCCCAAUGGAGACACGUGUGGUGACAAAAUGAGUCAAACAAUGGUCCUAUUAGUUUGUAACCAACGUAAUGAGGUGACGGAAGUUAAGGAACCAAAGACUUGCCAUUAUGAGAUGAAGUUUAAGGUGCCGCUGGCUUGUUCCAGACGAAACAUGGCAGUCUGUCUGUGGCUCAGCAAAAAGUUGCAACAACAGUGGGACGACGUUGAACAAGAGCAAUUCAAUGGAGACAUUACACAACAGGGAUACAAGAAUAUUUGACGACUAUAUGGACAGCAGCGGGAUUUGUUGGUCAGCGAGCUUCUAGAGAUGAUCAAAAUGCUAAAAGCAAAGAGAAGAACUCAGACAAGGAGGGAAGCAUGAAGUUUGCAGAUACAGCUGCAUGUGAAAAGGCAUACAACAAACUACACGAUACAUAUAAACCUAAAGACAACAAUUAUCCAUCUACUAGCCAAAUGCCACAUUAACUAAUGUCACACAAUCUAACACGUCACACUCUAAUUCAACCAUUAAUACAACCGUGAAUGCCAUAAAUCAAACAGUCAAUGUACCAUCAUCCAUCCAUACCAACAACGCUCAACAUGUCCAUACAAGGACAUUAACAAAAAAUCUGCAAACAAGGCCAGACGGUGGGAACACAACACUCGGAGGUGUCGACAUCGUUCCAUCAAAUUCUGUACUGAAAAAUGACAGUAAAACGUCAAAGUCUCAUUUGGUUGAUGAAAAGGUUUCACAGCAAGAAGAAGUUGGUGAGAGAAGGAAUGCAUAUAGACAGCAGAUGGAAGGUGGUGAAGUGUCACAUAAAGUGAGGAACUUUGAGAACAGGAUGGUUCAUUGGCAACAGGAAAAUAGUUGAACGAUGGACGUCAUUGCUUCAUCUAGCCUCUUACGGUAAUUGGAUUACAAGGUAGAGAUGGUCACGUUUGUAGAUAAUAAAUUAAAUCAAUAAAUUAGUGAGGGUUGAUAUCAAUUAUAAAAUGAGCAGGAUGAGUUUACGCGAAUGUUAUUAGACGUUAAUCUAUGGAUUUAUUUAUCUUGUUUGCUGCUCUUUAAUGCUUUGAAUUAUUCUUUCUAUGAAAGGCAGCUUUCUUCAAUUAUCGGUCCGUCAUUAUUAAUUACAUAUUGAAUUCUCGUUAUUUCUAACAAACUUCU
Molecule: long non-coding RNA, 2707 nt
Organism: Corticium candelabrum
Lineage: Eukaryota; Metazoa; Porifera; Homoscleromorpha; Homosclerophorida; Plakinidae
Exons: 10
Source: RefSeq, a predicted model, not a curated record